RNAcentral lists this ribosomal RNA (1504 nucleotides) under Vibrio cholerae. RNAcentral describes it as "bacterial LSU rRNA". It matches the Rfam family "Bacterial large subunit ribosomal RNA", at positions 1 to 1556 of the family's 2925-position model. Lineage: Bacteria; Pseudomonadati; Pseudomonadota; Gammaproteobacteria; Vibrionales; Vibrionaceae. The record is from RNAcentral.
GUUGUAUGGUUAAGUGACUAAGCGUACACGGUGGAUGCCUGGGCAGUCAGAGGCGAUGAAGGACGUACUAACUUGCGAUAAGCGCAGAUAAGGCAGUAAGAGCCGUUUGAGUCUGCGAUUUCCGAAUGGGGAAACCCAACUGCAUAAGCAGUUACUGUUAACUGAAUACAUAGGUUAACAGAGCAAACCGGGGGAACUGAAACAUCUAAGUACCCCGAGGAGAAGAAAUCAACCGAGAUUCCGGUAGUAGCGGCGAGCGAACCUGGAUUAGCCCUUAAGCACUCGGUGAAGUAGGUGAACAAGCUGGAAAGCUUGGCGAUACAGGGUGAUAGCCCCGUAACCGACGCUUCAUCGAGCGUGAAAUCGAGUAGGGCGGGACACGUGAUAUCCUGUCUGAAUAUGGGGGGACCAUCCUCCAAGGCUAAAUACUCCUGACUGACCGAUAGUGAACCAGUACCGUGAGGGAAAGGCGAAAAGAACCCCUGUGAGGGGAGUGAAAUAGAACCUGAAACCGUGUACGUACAAGCAGUAGGAGCACCUUCGUGGUGUGACUGCGUACCUUUUGUAUAAUGGGUCAGCGACUUAUAUUCAGUGGCAAGGUUAACCGUAUAGGGGAGCCGUAGCGAAAGCGAGUCUUAACUGGGCGCUCAGUCUCUGGAUAUAGACCCGAAACCGGGUGAUCUAGCCAUGGGCAGGUUGAAGGUUGAGUAACAUCAACUGGAGGACCGAACCGACUAAUGUUGAAAAAUUAGCGGAUGACUUGUGGCUAGGGGUGAAAGGCCAAUCAAACUCGGAGAUAGCUGGUUCUCCCCGAAAGCUAUUUAGGUAGCGCCUCGGACGAAUACUACUGGGGGUAGAGCACUGUUAAGGCUAGGGGGUCAUCCCGACUUACCAACCCUUUGCAAACUCCGAAUACCAGUAAGUACUAUCCGGGAGACACACGGCGGGUGCUAACGUCCGUCGUGGAGAGGGAAACAACCCAGACCGCCAGCUAAGGUCCCAAAGUAUUGCUAAGUGGGAAACGAUGUGGGAAGGCUCAGACAGCUAGGAUGUUGGCUUAGAAGCAGCCAUCAUUUAAAGAAAGCGUAAUAGCUCACUAGUCGAGUCGGCCUGCGCGGAAGAUGUAACGGGGCUAAGCAAUACACCGAAGCUGCGGCAAUGUCUUUUAGACAUUGGGUAGGGGAGCGUUCUGUAAGCCGUUGAAGGUGAAUCGUAAGGUUUGCUGGAGGUAUCAGAAGUGCGAAUGCUGACAUGAGUAACGACAAAGGGGGUGAAAAACCUCCUCGCCGGAAGACCAAGGGUUCCUGUCCAACGUUAAUCGGGGCAGGGUGAGUCGACCCCUAAGGUGAGGCCGAAAGGCGUAAUCGAUGGGAAACGGGUUAAUAUUCCCGUACUUCUGACUAUUGCGAUGGGGGGACGGAGAAGGCUAGGUGGGCCAGGCGACGGUUGUCCUGGUUCAAGUGCGUAGGCUUGAGAGUUAGGUAAAUCCGGCUCUCUCUAAGGC